Molecule: ribosomal RNA, 253 nt
Filed under: uncultured bacterium
Lineage: Bacteria
Description: partial 16S ribosomal RNA
Rfam family: Bacterial small subunit ribosomal RNA
Source: RNAcentral
UACGUAGGGGGCAAGCGUUGUCCGGAUUUAUUGGGCGUAAAGAGCGUGUAGGCGGUUAGGUAGGUCCGUUGUGAAAACUCGAGGCUCAACCUCGAGACGCCGAUGGAAACCAUCUGACUAGAGUCCGGAAGAGGAGAGUGGAAUUCCUGAUGUAGCGGUGAAAUGCGCAGAUAUCAGGAAGAACACCCGUGGCUAAGGCGGCUCUCUAGUACGUGACUGACGCUGAGACGCGAAAGCGUGGGGAGCGAACAGG